This 387-nucleotide ribosomal RNA is filed under the name uncultured bacterium. Its description in RNAcentral is "bacterial SSU rRNA". It matches the Rfam family "Bacterial small subunit ribosomal RNA", at positions 29 to 417 of the family's 1533-position model. The record is from RNAcentral.
AUUAAACGCUGGCGGCAUGCCUUACACAUGCAAGUCGAACGGCAGCACGGGGGCAACCCUGGUGGCGAGUGGCGAACGGGUGAGUAACGCAUCGGAACGUGCCCUGGAGUGGGGGAUAACGUAGCGAAAGUUACGCUAAUACCGCAUAUUCUGUGAGCAGGAAAGCAGGGGAUCGCAAGACCUUGCGCUCUGGGAGCGGCCGAUGUCGGAUUAGCUAGUUGGUGGGGUAAAGGCCUACCAAGGCGACGAUCCGUAGCGGGUCUGAGAGGAUGAUCCGCCACACUGGGACUGAGACACGGCCCAGACUCCUACGGGAGGCAGCAGUGGGGAAUUUUGGACAAUGGGCGCAAGCCUGAUCCAGCCAUGCCGCGUGAGUGAAGAAGGCCU